AAUAUAGGAACGAAGGCUAGGAACGCCACCUCGUGUGGCAACGCCUUCGUGACCAACAUCCUGUUGG
Molecule: small RNA, 67 nt
Organism: Paenisporosarcina sp. HGH0030
Lineage: Bacteria; Bacillati; Bacillota; Bacilli; Caryophanales; Caryophanaceae
Rfam family: Bacillaceae-1 RNA
Source: Rfam